AAGAGAAAUUUUGCCAGUCCAAAGUCACCAACACGGACAGUCAUCUCUUCAUCGAGGAGUAUGUUGCUUGGUUUUAAAUCACAGUGAACAAUUGGUACUUGGCAAUUGUUGUGGAGAUAAUCAAGUGCUGAAGCAGCAUCUAUUGCGAUGUUUAGUCUUUGGAUAAUAUUGAGGUGUUGCUCAUCACCUUUCGAGUGCAGCCAGUCAUCUAAGCUUCCGUUUUCCAUGAACUCAAAGACUAUGCAUUUGAAAUCAUUACCUUGGUAAUCGAUGCUUGAACAAACAGCUAUUAUCUUAAGGAGAUUUCGAUGCCUUAUGCUUUUCAAAGCUCUGCAUUCAUCCGAAAAGCUUUUCAAAGCACCUCUUUGUUGAAGGUUCAAUACUUUCACUGCCAUAACUUUAUCAAAAACCUGAAACUUUCCUCUGUAAACAGAACCAAAACUUCCUGUACCGACUAGAUUAUCCUCAGAAAAUCCAUUGGUUGACUUGAAUAUAUCUUGGUAAGUUAUCUUUGCUGUCAAAAUUGGAUCAUUAAAUAAAGU
Molecule: unclassified non-coding RNA, 542 nt
Filed under: Hevea brasiliensis (rubber tree)
Lineage: Eukaryota; Viridiplantae; Streptophyta; Magnoliopsida; Malpighiales; Euphorbiaceae
Source: RNAcentral